ACAGUUUUUGGCUUAAUUUAUUACUUUCAACAACUUAGAUAUUUGGUAUGUGGACCACCAUUUGUACUCUUGAAAGUAUAUUCAGUACAAGUGUAAGGAAAGAGCCUACCAAGGACCCUGGAAAAUGCAAAACCAACUUCUUCAUAGAAAAAUCCACUUUAAAGUCAAGCUUCAAGUAAUUCCCUCAGGUAAAGUUCCAAGGACCACAGCACAAUAAAAGAAAUCACUAAGCAUAUGAGAACACAGGCCCUCAAGAUUGAGCUCAGCAGAAAGCACACUCUAGCAAUUUGAUCAGCCAAGAUUUAAGAGAAUGGAAUUAUUGGAUAGAAUAUAAAAUAACUGCUAUAAAAUGAUUAUGGUUGGGAAGUUAAAAAAUUAAAGAAACAUGAAGGCUACUGUCUAACUUAAAUCUAUCAGUGUUCCAGAAAGAACUAAUUAAGAGAAAAAGAAGCAAUUAUAUUUUAUGUGACAAAGGGAUAAUGUACAGUAUUCAUUAAGGUUGCCAGAAUAAUUAUCACAUGGAAAAGAAUAAACAUGAAUCUUAUUUUUAAAAUAUACUCAAAAAUAUACACAAAUACUCAGAGUCUUCAAAAACUUAGAAAAGGUAUAUUUUGAAAAAACUAUACAUGGAUUUCAAAAUUUUUGUACCACAAUAAAUAUCUUUAAUUUCAUUUUUCCACAAACUCUUUGGAGUACCCUUGUAGAUAUAUAUGUGUUUUUGUGUGUGUACAUGCAUACAUACAUACACAUGUGAAUAUAAAUACAUAUAUAUGUAUAUGUGUGCACAUGUAUACAUAUAAAUACUAAGAAGAAAAUGUUUAAGUCACUGAAACCCAAGGUCCCUUUAUUGACGCCAAGGAGAAAAGCAUCAUCAUUAAGUGUCACUUAUUUUUGUUUUUGUUUUUGCAAUAAUGAUUUCCUAAAAAGAGUGACUACAAGCUUCCCCUGGGUGUACAUGGUAAUGACUUUAAACCCUUAGAAAUCUGUCAUCUGCUGCUCAUGGCAAAGUUUCUAUUAGCUGUCUUGUAAACUAGCUCUGCCUCAGCUCUGUAGAAGAUGAAGGUCCCUGCUGAGCCACGGGCACAUCUGCAUUCGUUUUAUCCUAGGACCCUAAUAGAAAGUGUAAGAUUAUGAGAGUGUUAGCCCUUAAGAAUACCUGUGAGUUGCUAUUGGCAUCAUUGAGCAGUUUAUUCUUCACCUUCACACUCAUAGGGAGCUUGUAUUCCCCCAAUAUAAUACCAUGUUAGUAGCCAAGAGGCCAUAGACUAGGCUCUCAAGCCAGGCUGCCUGAGAUAGAAUCCUAGCUGCAUAACUCACUACCAAUUUCCUUAACCUUUCUGUGACUCACUUGUAAGACAAGGAUAGUAACAGUAGCCACCUCUCUGACUUGCUGUGAGGACGAAAUGGUGAAUACAAAGCAAGGACUUCGAACAGUGGCUCAUGUACAAUAUGCAUUCGAUACAUGUUAACUAAUAGGAAAGAAUGGAGUUAGAUGGUUUUUCACAAGGUUAAACACUCUAGCACUUGACUUUAGACGGGUGGAUGCGAUUGAGACUUGGGAAAACCCUUAUAGGAAAGAUUUAGAAUAUUGUUCCUAAAAGCCCCUUCUGGAGGGGCUCCCAGAAGCUCUGUGUCAAGAAGUCCUCUUGUACUUCCUCUUAUUUUUAAAAGAUACCAAACAAGUCAAGUAUUUUCUAAAACACAGCAGCUGGACAAUGCAGAAGAGCUUUGCAAGGAGAUGUUCAUACACAGACACCACCAUGGUCUACAGCAACAGUGGAGUACGGGAAAGUCCUGCCUGUGAGCCUCAGCUCUACCUUCCUAAGCUCCUUGCAGAAGGUAAGGAGUGAGAUUAUCAUUAGAGAAGGAACUGUGGUGGUCAUCAGGCCAUUUCUUGAUAUUCUA
RNAcentral lists this long non-coding RNA (1905 nucleotides) under Oryctolagus cuniculus (rabbit). RNAcentral's name for it is "lncRNA (ENSOCUG00000030148.1)". Lineage: Eukaryota; Metazoa; Chordata; Mammalia; Lagomorpha; Leporidae. The record is from RNAcentral.